GUCUUUUUGAAAUAAAUUUAAAGUCUGACCUGCCCACUGAUAAUAUUAAAGGGCCGCGGUAUUUUGACCGUGCAAAGGUAGCAUAAUCAUUAGUUUUUUAAUUGAAAGCUUGUAUGAAUGGUUGGACGAAAUAUUUACUGUCUCAUAAAAAUUUAUAUUAGAAAUUAAUUUUUUUGUUAAAAAGCAAAAAUAAUAUUAGAGGACGAGAAGACCCUAUAGAGCUUUAUAAUUUUAUUAUUUAAUUUUUUAAGAAAAUUUUGAAUUUUAUAAAAAUAAUUAUUUUGUUGGGGUGACAGUAAAAUUUAUAAAACUUUUAUUAUAAUAUUACAUUAAUUAAUGAAUAUUUGAUCCAUUAUUAAUGAUUAAAAAAUUAAGUUACCUUAGGGAUAACAGCGUAAUUUUUUUUAAGAGUUCAUAUCGACAAAAAAGAUUGCGACCUCGAUGUUGGAUUAAGAAUUAUUUUUAGGUGUAGAAGUUUAAAGUUUAGGUCUGUUCGACCUUUGAAUUCUU
RNAcentral lists this ribosomal RNA (510 nucleotides) under Dicranomyia stygipennis. RNAcentral's name for it is "partial 16S ribosomal RNA". It matches the Rfam family "Bacterial large subunit ribosomal RNA", at positions 1819 to 2597 of the family's 2925-position model. The record is from RNAcentral. Lineage: Eukaryota; Metazoa; Arthropoda; Insecta; Diptera; Limoniidae.